UCCCUGGUGGUCCAGUGGUUAAGACUCUGAGCUUCCACUGCAGAGACCUCAGGUUGGAUUCCUGGUCAGAGAA
This 73-nucleotide transfer RNA is filed under the name Bos taurus (domestic cattle). It matches the Rfam family "tRNA". Rfam says of the family: Transfer RNA (tRNA) molecules are approximately 80 nucleotides in length. Their secondary structure includes four short double-helical elements and three loops (D, anti-codon, and T loops). The record is from Rfam by way of RNAcentral. RNAcentral also lists the same sequence under 4 other names. Lineage: Eukaryota; Metazoa; Chordata; Mammalia; Artiodactyla; Bovidae.